GGCUCGGUGGUGAAUGGUCAACACCUGCAAGAAUUGGAUCAGCUCACGGAAAAUUGAUUUAGCAGUACGAGCGUGUUCGAAUCACGCCCGGGUCA
Non-coding RNA from Mycena leptocephala, 95 nucleotides. Lineage: Eukaryota; Fungi; Basidiomycota; Agaricomycetes; Agaricales; Mycenaceae. The record is from the annotation of a GenBank genome assembly.